UGCCAAAAGUCUUAGAUUUAGAUUCACUA
RNAcentral lists this non-coding RNA (29 nucleotides) under Mus musculus (house mouse). Lineage: Eukaryota; Metazoa; Chordata; Mammalia; Rodentia; Muridae. The record is from RNAcentral.